Molecule: long non-coding RNA, 2027 nt
Organism: Mus musculus (house mouse)
Lineage: Eukaryota; Metazoa; Chordata; Mammalia; Rodentia; Muridae
Product: predicted gene, 35686
Exons: 4
Source: RefSeq, a predicted model, not a curated record
CAGGCACACAGAGGUCAGCACAACUGUGGUCCAAGUUCAAGCUGGAGGCAGAACUUACCAUUGUCCAUGCAAUGCUGAUUCUGCAGGAAAAAAAACGAGGUCCAAAUGGUGCAUUCUUCCACUGACCUACCAAAAUCUCCUGCUAAGACAAGGAAUGCCAAGCUCUGUCUUAUUUUGUUUUUGACAGUUUGCAGUGUCAUUUGAUUCCCUGCAGGAAGAUGUGAAGAAAGAUGGAGAAAGAAUCCACUCUUCAUCGAGGAGGAUGCUACAUUGAGGCCUCCCUCUUUCCUAGGUCCCACUUCUUUUAUGAGUAGCACCUUAGCCCCUUUGUCAAACAGCUAAAUUAAAAUUGCACCGAGAAUUCUAGAUUCUUCAGCCAGCAAGUACAUGUUGAGUGCUACUUUGAGUUGGACGCAGAAAUCUUAGCACAUAUUUGGAGAGUUUACACUCUGGCUUGAAAUGGGGCUACCUCCAAGGAGACAGCAGAAAACACUGCACAAAGAAGUGGGAUCUAAACUACCAUAAGUGACAUAAGGAAUGAUUUGGGGGAUGUUUUGUGUCAUGGAUAUUCCCACCUGAACUGGUUUAUCUCUACUCAGAGAAGAGAUGAAAAGAACUCCUCAGAGACACAGAUAUGAAAACAACUAUAUUUUACCAACAUUGGGACACUCAUGAUUACUGUAUCCCCAAAUCAAGUCCUAGUCCUUAUUUUCCAUUCUGAUUCACAGAAAUUGGGUUGAUCAUCUUCUAGGUGGCCUGUGGCUUUCUAUGUUCUGUAGAUGCUUAUAUUAAAAGUUCCAAGGCAGGAUGUUGAAGGUCCUUUAUAUGUAUCACCUGUGUCAAACCAUACCAAUUCAAUAGUGUAAUAGCUGAUGUCAUAACUCAUGAUUAAUAGCUCCUGAAGAAACUUUGCAGCCUGAGUUUCAUAACUAAUUUGGGAUGCUAGAGGUAACAGAACAUUUUUGAACUUUAGAGAACAAUUCACCAAAUUUUAUGGAUAAAUAUGAAUGUGUUAAUUUAAAUAUAUUUUUACCAAUUCUUUGAGUAUUUCAUAUAAUAUACUUUGAUCCCAUUUACUCCAAACUCCUCUUAGCUCCACCUUUCUAUACCCCAAACUCUCUUUGCUUUGAUUUUAUUUAAUAACUCAUCUAUUCCAAUUUGUACUGUCCAUACACUUCUGGUUAUGGGGGCAUGUUUUAGACUCUCUAGAGUGUAACUGACCUACGAGAAGUCACAUCCUUAGGAAAACUGACUCUCCCUCUCCAAAAACUGAUCCGUCAUAGCUUUCCAGCUAGCAAUGGGAAUUCAUGAACUCCUUCCCACUUAGUGCAAGAAUGCUGACUUGCUAUGUUUUUUUUUCUCCCCACAGAAAACCACAUUUGCUGUGAGUUCAUGAAGACAUUGUUUUGCCCCAUUACUCCCUGAUCGUUGCCUCUUAUAAUCUUCCCAUCUGCCCUUCUGUGACGAUCCCUGAGAGUUGGGAAGGAUGUGUAAUGUUGAUAUCCUGUUUGUCUGUUGCACAAUCCACAGACACUAAUUCUCUACACUUAGAUCUGUUGAGAAUAUCUGUGUUAACUAUGAGGCACUUCCCAAAGAAACUUCUCUGAUGAGGACCAAGAACUGCCAAAUAAAGCUACUGAUGGCUUUUGAUUGGCAGUAAGAUCAUAUUAGUCAAUACAGUAUACACAUUGGUAACAGGACACGGAACAAUGAAGUAGGUACUGACUAGGAAGCUUCCUGUCUCUUUGUUAGCUCCCCCACUAAUAGAAUUCUGCUGGGAAAUUCAUUGACAGUCUUAUCCAGUUGGGAGCUCCAUUACAGUUUUGAAAGACUUUAUAGUGAGCGAUAUAAGUAUUUCUUCCUUGCACAAAUAUAAAACAAAUUUUAUUUUCCUCCUUUAGAGAUCAUUUGCUUCCUUUGACUAUUCUUAGGAUGCAUCCUUUGAUCCCUUUAUUUUGCUUGCAUGAUUAUCUUUCUCUUCUCUCUCCUCUCCUCUCCUCUCCUCUCCUCUCCUCUCCUCUCCUCUC